ACUUAGAUUAUUGUUUUGUUAGUGGAUUAAAUUAAGGGACUUGGUGGACAUUUUCAUGUAAGAACUAUUUAUUUUUAUGGAUUUUGGCAUUAUGACAAUUAAGGAUUUAAUUUGAGUAUUUUACAUUGUGAGUUAUGUGAUUGGAUUCUUAGCCUUGCAUGCUCACUUAUAUGAGUGUGCGGCGUUGUCACGGAGCUUGGGGCGUGACAAUAUAUGACUAAGAUGAAGCA
This 230-nucleotide small RNA is filed under the name Camellia sinensis. RNAcentral describes it as "transcribed RNA". The record is from RNAcentral. Lineage: Eukaryota; Viridiplantae; Streptophyta; Magnoliopsida; Ericales; Theaceae.